ACCGGCGCACGGGUGCGUAACGCGUAUACAAUCUGCCUAUAUCAGGGGGAUAACACAGCGAAAGUUGUGCUAAUACCGCAUAAUAUUGUUUUUUGGCAUCAAGAGAUAAUCAAAGUAUUUAUACGGAUAUAGAUGAGUAUGCGUGUCAUUAGCUAGUUGGUAAGGUAAUGGCUUACCAAGGCAACGAUGACUAGGGGUUCUGAGAGGAUGAUCCCCCACACUGGUACUGAGAUACGGACCAGACUCCUACGGGAGGCAGCAGUAGGGAAUAUUGGGCAAUGGAAGGAAUUCUGACCCAGCCAUGCCGCGUGCAGGAUGAAGGCGCUAUGCGUUGUAAACUGCUUUUGUCAGGGAAGAAAAAGGCUAUGCGUAGCAAAUUGACGGUACCUGAAGAAUAAGCAUCGGCUAACUCCGUGCCAGCAGCCGCGGUAAUACGGAGGAUGCAAGCGUUGUCCGGAUUUAUUGGGUUUAAAGGGUGCGUAGGCGGUCUAAUAAGUCAGUGGUUAAAUUACCUUGCUUAACGAGGGAGAUGCCAUUGAUACUGUUAGACUUGAAUACUGUUUGGGUAGGCGGAAUUGGUAGUGUAGCGGUGAAAUGCUUAGAUAUUACCAGGAACACCGAUAGCGAAGGCAGCUUACUGAAGAGAUAUUGACGCUGAGGCACGAAAGUGCGGGUAUCAAACAGGAUUAGAUACCCUGGU
This 700-nucleotide ribosomal RNA is filed under the name uncultured bacterium. RNAcentral's name for it is "bacterial SSU rRNA". It matches the Rfam family "Bacterial small subunit ribosomal RNA", at positions 94 to 791 of the family's 1533-position model. The record is from RNAcentral.